Molecule: ribosomal RNA, 472 nt
Filed under: uncultured bacterium
Lineage: Bacteria
Description: bacterial SSU rRNA
Rfam family: Bacterial small subunit ribosomal RNA
Source: RNAcentral
UGGGGAAUUUUGGACAAUGGGCGCAAGCCUGAUCCAGCAAUGCCGCGUGCAGGAUGAAGGCCUUCGGGUUGUAAACUGCUUUUGUACGGAACGAAACGGCGAACUCUAAUAAAGUUUGCUAAUGACGGUACCGUAAGAAUAAGCACCGGCUAACUACGUGCCAGCAGCCGCGGUAAUACGUAGGGUGCAAGCGUUAAUCGGAAUUACUGGGCGUAAAGCGUGCGCAGGCGGUUAUAUAAGACAGAUGUGAAAUCCCCGGGCUCAACCUGGGACCUGCAUUUGUGACUGUAUAGCUAGAGUACGGUAGAGGGGGAUGGAAUUCCGCGUGUAGCAGUGAAAUGCGUAGAUAUGCGGAGGAACACCGAUGGCGAAGGCGGCUCACUGGUCCGGUACUGACGCUGAGGUGCGAAAGCGUGGGGAGCAAACAGGAUUAGAUACCCUUGUAGUCCCUGAGCGGGCUGGCAAGGCGCAU